Molecule: long non-coding RNA, 525 nt
Filed under: Zostera marina
Lineage: Eukaryota; Viridiplantae; Streptophyta; Magnoliopsida; Alismatales; Zosteraceae
Description: long non-coding RNA (ZMAR_LNC005124)
Source: RNAcentral
CGACAUCGACAUUUCCAAGGAGAAAUGAGAUCGACUUGUCGUCAAAAAUCCGACUUCUUCAGAAAAGGACAAAAGAAUAUGGUAUUGACCAAAAGAAAGCAUCGGUUACACUAACGUACUUCAAAGUAAAGGUGUAAGUCGAGUAAGAAAAAGGUAAAAAUAUAUUUAUUCAAAGUCAUAAAAAUGAUGAAUGAAAAAUAUUACAGGUUCCUAAUUAAAAUUGAUACGGCGACGUAAGCGGCGAGGGACCUGAUCCAGCGGGGAGGCACCGCGGCGGGGACGCCUCCGACGUCGGCCACGAGGAGGGACAACAGAAGAAGAGACGGGCGGAAGAUCGCCACCAGACCAUUCUUCAAAAAUUGAUUCCCUAGCAGCAACAGCAACACUCUGCCGCUCAACAAUAAGCUGGCGCAGAGAAGAAAGAUCCAAGGUUGACGACCGAGGAUCCAAAAUAUUCAAAAUUCGAUCCAGCUCCUCAAUCUCUCCCUGAAUAAAAUCAGCAAAGAGACUCAUAAGAAGAGCCAU